This 467-nucleotide ribosomal RNA is filed under the name uncultured bacterium. RNAcentral describes it as "partial 16S ribosomal RNA". It matches the Rfam family "Bacterial small subunit ribosomal RNA", at positions 28 to 506 of the family's 1533-position model. The record is from RNAcentral.
GACGAACGCUGGCGGCGUGCUUAACACAUGCAAGUCGAACGGAAAGGCCCUGCUUUUGUGGGGUGCUCGAGUGGCGAACGGGUGAGUAACACGUGAGUAACCUGCCCUUGACUUUGGGAUAACUUCAGGAAACUGGGGCUAAUACCGGAUAGGAGCUCCUGCUGCAUGGUGGGGGUUGGAAAGUUUCGGCGGUUGGGGAUGGACUCGCGGCUUAUCAGCUUGUUGGUGGGGUAGUGGCUUACCAAGGCUUUGACGGGUAGCCGGCCUGAGAGGGUGGCCGGCCACAUUGGGACUGAGAUACGGCCCAGACUCCUACGGGAGGCAACAGUGGGGAAUAUUGCACAAUGGGCGGAAGCCUGAUGCAGCAACGCCGCGUGCGGGAUGACGGCCUUCGGGUUGUAAACCGCUUUCGCCUGUGACGAAGCGUGAGUGACGGUAAUGGGUAAAGAAGCACCGGCUAACUACGU